Molecule: ribosomal RNA, 440 nt
Filed under: uncultured bacterium
Lineage: Bacteria
Description: partial 16S ribosomal RNA
Rfam family: Bacterial small subunit ribosomal RNA
Source: RNAcentral
CCUACGGGCGGCAGCAGUGGGGGAUAUUGCACAAUGGGGGGAACCCUGAUGCAGCGACGCCGCGUGUGGGAAGACGGUCCUCUGGAUUGUAAACCACUGUCCCCAGGGACGAAAAUGACGGUACCUGGGGCGGACGCUCCGGCUAACUACGUGCCAGCAGCCGCGGUAAUACGUAGGGAGCGAGCGUUGUCCGGAAUUACUGGGUGUAAAGGGAGCGUAGGCGGGGAUGCAAGUUGGGUGUCAAAACUACCGGCUCAACUGGUAGUCGCACUCAAAACUGCAGCUCUUGAGUGAAGUAGAGGCAGGCGGAAUUCCUAGUGUAGCGGUGAAAUGCGUAGAUAUUAGGAGGAACACCAGUGGCGAAGGCGGCCUACUGGACGGUGACUGACGCUGAGGCUCGAAAGCGUGGGGAGCAAACAGGAUUAGAUACCCUAGUAGUC